Molecule: long non-coding RNA, 303 nt
Organism: Scylla paramamosain (green mud crab)
Lineage: Eukaryota; Metazoa; Arthropoda; Malacostraca; Decapoda; Portunidae
Exons: 2
Source: RefSeq, a predicted model, not a curated record
GCGGGACUUAAGCUUAAACGAAGAACGCCUUUUGUGUUUUAUGCAGGUUGGCCUGACCGGGCACGUGGGGACGUCAGGGUGACGUAUGAGUUACUGGGUUUUGUGGAAGAGGAGUAGUCAAUGUGUAUUGGUAACUAAAACUUGACUACUCGGAUGUGCAAUAGUAAGACAAACUUAACUGUGAAGAAAUGUGUAUUAAUAACUAAACUUUAGUUAUUCGGAAGUGUACAAUGGUAAAUUAAAUUUAAAUUCAAGAAUUACCUCGGAAGUGUAUAAUGGUAAAAUAAACAAUAUGAAGAAUUA